CAACAUGCUGACCUUCUCAACACAGUGUUCCAGACAGCCAUUACCAGUCAAUCAACACUGAUAUGAUGAAUACUAUCCUCCAGUCAGAAAGUGUUCAGGGGUAGGAUAGAGAUAAUUAGAACUCUUGAUCUCAUGGAAGAGAAUUAGCCUGGGGAGAGGUAUGAAGACACUUGAAAUCUAGUGUGGCUUUGACAUUUUUUGUGCCAUGUGGACCUGGGUCAGUUAAUCUCUUUGAACUUGGUUUCCUCUAAGAAACUCUGAUUCUUGGAGAUCUGAGGCAAGAGAGAUGCUUCCUCUUUGGGUGUUCAAGGAAGGCUUACCACAAGAGGUGAGAUUUCAGGGGGCUUUAAAGGAUGGGCAUAGUUUGCUUCAACAAAGAACUGUGUGUGUGCUGCAUGUGUGCAUGUUCUAAGAGUUUGAGGGAAUUGGUGACUAAGAGUGGGUAGAUUUCAGAAUCUACUUCCAUCUACCGUUUCCAAAAUAAAAAGCAAUUAUACCCCUGUAGUCUAUCUGUGGGGUGGGGAAACUACAGUUGGGGCCCAACUGCAAUCCCCUCCAGGAGGCAGUCAUAAUCAUGGAAAAAAUGAUGCUUUCCACUUUUUUUCUGGAUGUGGGGAGGGAUGUUGUGAGAGGUGGGGGCUGGUGGCAGCUGUCUGCUGCUCUUUCGUUUUGCAUUGUAAAUUCUCUGUCCCUCGACAAAGGUUCCAUUUAUCUUGUCUCCCCAGCAGGGCCAGGUCACCCCUAAGCCCACGAGGGUAGAAGAGCUAUUUCCCAUGCAGGCCUGUGACCCAUAGCUAUGCCCUUGGAGGGGCUGUCUUCCAAAAUGAAACCAGGUUAGAGCCAUUUAUAGAUUCAAGACUUGACAUUCUGACUCCCCUUUCUUGUUUACUUUUCUCAUUCUGUCUGUAACUUAACUGACCAGUCAGCAAAAUGAUUCCAAAUCCAUAGUCACACUGCUCGGGUUCACAUUCUGGCUCUGCCACUUCUACACUUUGUGACCUUAGGCAAGUGACUUGACCUCUCUGAGCCUUAGUUUCCUCACCAAUAAAUAUGGGAAUAAAAAUAGUACCUAUUUCAUAGAGAGGUGUGGACUCAUUGAAAAAACCUCGGUAAACACAGAGGAACUUAGCAGUGGGAGGACUAAAAGGUAAGCAUCAUGGAAGGGGUAGAGAGGAGGGUAUGAUGUUCCAACUGUGUGCACAAAACUGUUAUGCCCAAAUUCCAGUUUUUUUGGAAUAAAGGCCAAUUUCCCUAGAUAUGGACUCUGAGAUGUUAGGGGUGACUUGCCAGAUUAUUUCUGCCCACAGCAAGGGUAGAAGCUGUUGAGUGGAGACUCUGCAGCUCUAUGAGGUGCCUCACAGAACAGAGACAACAAGCUCAAGGGAAACUCAGUGCUUCAGACUGUGGCCCUUAGAGCCUAUCACACCUAAGCUGGAGUGUGGGUUUUGCCAUUUAUCACACCAUCCUCUUGUGUAAGGGACAUAACAUCUCUGAGCCUUCCUUUCCUCAUCUGUAAGAUGGAGCUAAUUAUAACAUCCACCUCAUGGAAUGCAUGUAAAGUGUUCUGUGUUGUGCUUGAUACAACCUUCCAUAUGUAUCUCCUAUAAAGAUUGGCUCAAAAAAUAACUAAGUUCAUCAUCAGACUUGAGGUGGCCAUAAAUCUUUGGAGGGCUGGAACCAUACUUUAUCUUAGUAUCUGCAGUGCCUGGCACAUAUGGGAAUUAGUUUGGUUCCAAAGAGCAGAGAUCCAUUCAAAGUAGCUGAGAUAAAAAUGAAGGAUUUUAGGUGAGAUCAGGGAAAUGUUUUAAAAUUCAGUGGCAAGAAUUAUAACUGGACUUCAUUACAACUAAAGAUUUGUGAUGACAUCUUGGACCCUUCCCCAUGCACACGCCUCUUGGUCUUCCCUCAAACUUUCUCUGAGUUUCCUCUUUCCCUCUAUGAACAGAUGCCACCUCUCCUCUUGCAUCUGGUCCUUAGCAACCUCCCCACAUGCCAGCUCCUCUCUCUUAGCCUGCACCACAGGUGGCAUCAUAGACUGAUCAAGAGCCCAGGCUUGGAAUCAUGUUGCCUGGGUUAAAAUCUUGGCUUUGCUGCUCACUGACUGUACAACCGUAACUCCAUCACUUUCCUCAUUCACAAAUGGAGCCUGAUAAUAACACCUGCCUCAUAGCAUGUUGAGACGUAAAUGACUUAAUAUGUGAAAUACUUAUAAUACCUGGGUUAGGGCAGUGACAUCCUAACUGGUCUACCUCUCCCUUUGCUCUCCUUCAGAGUAUUCAGUGGUAUGUGAGUUCAUGUUCCUCCUCCUCUCUAAACUCCUCUAUGGCUCCCGUCUCUCCAAGUGAAAACCCGAGCCCUUAUAGUGGCCUGCAGGACCCUACACCAUCGGGCUCCUGGCUUCCUCUCAUAAGAUCUCCUGGGAUUCUUCACUUGGUCUCUCUGCUCCACCCAUAUUAGCCUCUUGCUGCCCCACAAACACAGGCUAGGUCUGUCCCUACCUCAGGAACUUUGCACUUGCUGUUUCCUCUGCCUAGAUCAAACAUCCCUUAGAUACCAGGCUUGCUUCCUUCAAGGUGAUGCUCAAACAUCACCUUCUCAGUGGGACCUUCCAUGACCACUCAUUGUAUUUAAAGUAGAAACCUCUUACCCGGUACUCCUUAUUUACCUGCCCAGAUUGUUAUUACGUUUAUUGCCAGAAUGUCACAAAGGCAGGGUUUUCGUGUGUCUUGCUCACUACUGUCUCCCCAGCGCCUGACACUGUCAACUCAAUAUUUUUUGACUGAAUAAAUAAAUGUUGGUGCAUACUAUAAUUGCUAACAAACUUUCUGAGACUUUUGAUCUUUUUAUUUUCCUCUCACGGAUGUCUCUUACAGAUUUCAACCUGCCACUGUUUUGAGGCUUCUUUCUUCCUUCCAGCAUAUUCCUACUGGGUGUUUGUUUUAGAGGUAAACAUUGUCCUUGUGGUAUAAUUACGAAGUUGCUCUAGAAAAAUAGUUUCAUCUCCCUUUGAAGUGAAUCUUCUUCUUCUUUAAAAGGCAUCAGAACCCCCUACUGAAUUCUUUACCGUAGCAAAAUUAGUUUCCUAAAGCUGAUGUGGAAGCUAAUUUGUGUAUUGCUGUCAGUUGGAAGGCUUUGAAAUUAAUUGUCUUAGCUAACCUUGUUGAGAUCUAACCAUGUUAUGUUUAGUGCAUUAUCUCCUCAUUGGGUCUGGUGGGAUAAGUCCUGCUUUAUUCUCUCUUGAGCAGAGAAUGUAACUUUUAUUGGUUUCCAAAUUAAGAUGGAGAGCUAAAUGGUUGUGGAAAAAACUCUCAGAUUGGAAGGCAGAUUUUAGAAUUUCGAUUCUAAAAAUACCCCAGAAGUAGACUGACCUAGUGGCUUAGGGUCAGGCUAUCCUUUCUGAACCUUUUGGAGAAGUACAUCCUAAAAUAAUUUAAAAUUAUGGAAGUCCCUGCUGUGGCACAGUGGAUUAAAAAUCUGACUGUAGCAGCUUGGGUUGCUGCAGAGGUGUGGGUUUGAUCCCCAGCCUGUCGAGGUGGGUUAAAGGGUCUGUGUUGUCACAGCUGUGGCAUAGGUCACAGCUGCAGCUCUGAUUCAGUCUCUGGCCCAGGAGCUUCCAUGUGCCAUAGGCACGGCCAUAAAAAAAAUAAUAACAAUAAAAAUUUUAAGGGAGUUCCCAUUAUGGUGCAGCAGAAACAAAACUGACUAGUAUCCAUGAGGGAUGCAGUUUUGAUACCUGGCUUCAAUCAGUGGGUCGAGGAUCUGGCAUUGCCAUGAACUAUGGAGUAGGUCACAGAGGAGGCUUGGAGCUUGUUUUUCUGUGGCUGUGGUGUAGGCCAGCAGAUAUAGCUCCGAUUUGACCCCUAGCCUGGGAACUUCCGUAUGCCUUGGGUGCAGCCCUAGGAAAAAAAACAAAAAACAAAAAGCAAAAAAAUUUUUAAAGAAAUAAAAUAAAAUUACACAAGUAAUAGUGAAGUACAUUUUUAUAAAAAUUUAAAAUUUAUGAGCAAAGCUAACAUCCCUUUUGACCAUAAAUCUCCCACAUACCCAAAUUAUCUUAUUUGUUAGAUGUUUAUAUUUCUAGACAGUUUUCUAUGCAUCUCUGUAUGAUUUUAUAGUAUUGUUACAUGAAUAUCUUUUACCUAAGUGUACAACACUGUGAUAUUGUAAUCAUAACUGGCUUAUUCCAGUUAUGGGUCUUUAAGUUCUUUCCAUGUCAGUACGUACAUAUGUUUUAUACUUUUGAAUGGCUUCAUGGUACUUCUAUUAGUCAGCUCAGGCUGCACAACCAAAUGCCAUAGACUUGGUGGCUUAAACAAUAGACAUUUAUUUCUCACAGUUCUGGAGGCUGGGAAGUCCAAGUUCAAAGUGCCAGAUGAUUUGAUUCCUGAUGAAGCCCUCUUCCGGCUCACAGCUGGCCUUCUUCUCUCUGCAUCCUCACAUGGCAUAGAGGGUACAAGUUCUGGGUCUCUUUCCUAGAGUCCCCACCCUCAUGUCCUCAUUUAAACCUAAGUACUUCCCAAAUGCCCCAAUACCAUCACACUGGGGGCUAGGGACCUAGCAUAUUCAUUCUGGUGGGGGAAGGCAACAGACGUUCAGUCCACAGCGUAUUCUCUAAUACAUUGCUUCCUUAGCCAUUUUCUUGUUGAUGAAAGUUUAGUCUGUUUUCAAUUUUUCCCUAGUACAAACCAUGCUGUAAUGAACACCCUUGUUCAGACCUCCUCUCUCAGAUGGACAGUGAGAAGGAAUGGUUGUAUUGUAGUUCUGUCAUUCUUUUUUUAAAAAUAAGAAAAAAAGUUUUUAGCCACGCCUGCAGCAUGUAAAUUCUCAGCCAGGGAAUCAAACCCACACCAGUGACAACCCUGGAUCCUUAACCCACUGAGCCACCAGGGAAGUCUAUAGUAUUGUUUUUUUACAGCCACACCAGUGGCAUAUGGAAGUUCCUGGGAUAGGAGUACAUUCUUUUUAGUGUCUUGGCUUGUUAUCAGAUAUUAUUUAGAUUCUUUUGAUUUCAGAGAGAGUUGUGUUCAUCCUUAUGGAGGCUGGCAAACCAGUUUUAUUUCUGUUUAAAGGAUGUAGGUAAAAGGUAUAGAUGGUUACAAAGUAAAAGGUAGAAAAUGAUAUGAGGUUAAAAUCCUCCCUCCCACAUCUGUUCCCUUGCUCUCUUGCCAGAGAGUCAUGCCCGCAUUCCAAACUCUACAUUCUCUUGUGUAUGAAAGCAAAUUAGCUUAAACAUCAGUGGUGCCAUACUGAACAUAGUUCUGACACCUGUCUUUUAAAUUUUUUUCUUUUUUUAAAAAAAGUUUUUUUAGGAGUUCUCAUCAUGGCUCAGUGGAAAUGAAUCUGACUGGUAUCCAUGAGGACGCAGGUUCAAUCCCUGGCCUUGCUCAGUGGGUUAAGGAUCCAGUGUUGCUGUGAGCUGAGGUGUAGGUUGCAGAUGCAGCUCAGAUCCUACAUUGCUGUGACUGUGGCAUAGGCUAGCAGCUGUAGCUCCAAUUCAGCCCCCUAGCUUGGGAACCUCCAUAUGCCGUGGAUG
This 5533-nucleotide long non-coding RNA is filed under the name Sus scrofa (pig). Its description in RNAcentral is "lncRNA (ENSSSCG00015067336.1)". Lineage: Eukaryota; Metazoa; Chordata; Mammalia; Artiodactyla; Suidae. The record is from RNAcentral.